AUGAAUAUCUUGGCCUGAAACUGUCGAGGACUGGGGUUGGACUCGACGGUUGGCGAACUGAGAGACCUGAUACGGUCCUACAACCCAGCGGUGGUAUUCUUAUGCGAGACAAAAAAGAAAGGCAGGGCGAUGGAGAAGCUUAAGUGGAGUUUGGGGUUCCGAAACGGAGUGGCAGUGGAUAGUUUUGGGCAGAGUGGUGGAUUAGCUAUGUGG
RNAcentral lists this ribosomal RNA (213 nucleotides) under Triticum aestivum (bread wheat). Its description in RNAcentral is "partial small subunit ribosomal RNA". Lineage: Eukaryota; Viridiplantae; Streptophyta; Magnoliopsida; Poales; Poaceae. The record is from RNAcentral.